RNAcentral lists this ribosomal RNA (349 nucleotides) under uncultured bacterium. Its description in RNAcentral is "bacterial SSU rRNA". It matches the Rfam family "Bacterial small subunit ribosomal RNA", at positions 917 to 1264 of the family's 1533-position model. The record is from RNAcentral.
GGACCCGCACAAGUAGUGGAGCAUGUGGUUUAAUUCGAAGAUACGCGCAGAACCUUACCAACACUUGACAUGUUCGUCGCGACUUUAAGAGAUUAAAAGUUUUCGGUUCGGCCGGACGAAACACAGGUGCUGCAUGGCUGUCGUCAGCUCGUGUCGUGAGAUGUUGGGUUAAGUCCCGCAACGAGCGCAACCCUCACUUUUAGUUGCCAUCAUUUAGUGGGCACUCUGAAAGAACUGCCAGUGAUAAGCUGGAGGAAGGUGGGGAUGACGUCAAGUCCUCAUGGCCCUUACGUGUUGGGCUACACACGUGCUACAAUGGUAUCUACAACAGGAAGCAAGACGCGACGUU